GACGAACGCUGGCGGCGUGCUUAACACAUGCAAGUCGAACGGAAAGGCCCUGCUCUUGUUGGUUUCUCGAUUGGCGAACGGGUGAGUAACACGUGAGUAUCCUGCCCUUGUCUGUGUGAUAACUUCAGGAAACUGGGGCUAAUACCGGAUAGGAUCUCCUGCUGCAUGGUGGGGGUUGGAAAGUUUCGGCGGUUGGGGAUGGACUCGCGGCUUAUCAGCUUGUUUGUGGGGUAGUGGCUUACCAAGGCUUUGACGGGUAGCCGGCCUGAGAGGGUGACCGGCCACAUUGGGACUGAGAUACGGACCAGACUCCUACGGGAGGCAGCAGUGGGGAACAUUGCACAAUGGGCGGAAGCCUGAUGCAGCAACGCCGCGUGCGGGAUGACGGCUUUCGGGGUGUAAACAGCUUUCGCAUGUGACGAAGCGUGAGUGACGGUAAUGGGUAAAGAAGCACCGGCUAACUACGUG
This 468-nucleotide ribosomal RNA is filed under the name uncultured bacterium. RNAcentral describes it as "partial 16S ribosomal RNA". It matches the Rfam family "Bacterial small subunit ribosomal RNA", at positions 28 to 507 of the family's 1533-position model. The record is from RNAcentral.